Pelobates cultripes (western spadefoot toad) is the source of this 450-nucleotide non-coding RNA. The record is from the annotation of a GenBank genome assembly. NCBI's taxonomy places the organism in Eukaryota, Metazoa, Chordata, Amphibia, Anura, Pelobatidae.
GUACAGUGUUGUUCCACUUUAACAAUUCGUUAACCUACCGAGCCACCAUAAGACCACCAACAAUGUAACUUUUAACCGAAGCAGUUAUCACUUGAACUUUAUUUGAAAAAAUAUAGGAAAGGACAAAGUUUGCUCAUGAGCGGUAGGAACAGAUGUUAUAGCGGGAAUGUCCUAUGUGACAAGUGAGCAGUCUGGAGCAUCAUCGCAGUAUAUCUGCGCAGAUAUGUGAAAAGGAAAGGUCAUAGGAGAACAGAGCAAAAAAUUUAGACAGAAAAAAAAAAGAGGGGAAUACGAGACAAAAAACCCCAUCUUUUUUAGAAGGGGGGAGGAAGGGGGAAAGCAAAGCUCCAGAACAGGAAGGGUGAUGUAUAGGUGGAGUAAGUAAAUAGGUAUGUCACCCAUCCAGUGCGCCCUCCAAUUCCUGGUACUAUUCCCCAAAAAGGGAGUAAC